Molecule: long non-coding RNA, 456 nt
Organism: Hydra vulgaris (swiftwater hydra)
Lineage: Eukaryota; Metazoa; Cnidaria; Hydrozoa; Anthoathecata; Hydridae
Source: RefSeq, a predicted model, not a curated record
ACGGAGGUUAUUGUUUGAAGAGAAUAAAGUUUUUUAUAUAAAUACAGCACAAAUCAGAUACAGCCAAAAUUAGAAACAACUUUUACUUUGAUUGAAAUUUUCAUAAAAAUGAAAAAAAAAAGCUAGUUGGGGAAGUUAUUCGAAAAGUGAUUGUGAUUGAAGAUGAUGAGGGGAAAAAAGAAAUUAUUGUUAACGAAUUGGAAUUUUUACUAUAUGAUAUUUAUAGACCGGAUGUUAUUGAAAAACGAUGGGAGACAGAUGAAAUUCAUUUUAUCCUAUUGAUUUGUAAAGAGGUUACAAACGAUCAUGAAUUUAUCAGCAUAUGGAAAACAUUUAAAAACAUAAACGUUUUAAAAAAAAGAAUUCGUAAGUUAAAUCGUUUACGAAAGAAGAAACGUUAAUUUUUUUUUUGUAUAGUUUUAUAAAUUUUGAAAAUAUAUUUACAAUAUUAUUUUU